GGGAAUGUGGCUUAGUGGUAGAGUGCUUGCCUAGCAUGCAUGAAGCCCUAGGUUUGAUUUCUUAGUACCA
Dipodomys ordii (Ord's kangaroo rat) is the source of this 70-nucleotide non-coding RNA. The record is from Rfam. NCBI's taxonomy places the organism in Eukaryota, Metazoa, Chordata, Mammalia, Rodentia, Heteromyidae.